CUUGUGGUCCAACCAUAAAUAUUUCUGGAUUGGUUUGUAGGUUCUGAACUUCUCUAAGUUUAAUAUUCUUCCCACUACCUCUUUCUUGAAUGAAUUCAUUUUCUAAGAAAAUGGUAUGCCUACUAAGAAAUAUCUUUUAUUCAAUAAGAUGGUAGAAGUAGUAUCCUUUUAUUUCUUUAAGAUACCCUACAAAUCUAUACUUGUCUGAUCUAGCAUUUAGCUUAUAUCCAAAGAUAUUUUUGACAAAAGUAGGACAGCCCC
RNAcentral lists this long non-coding RNA (261 nucleotides) under Elaeis guineensis (African oil palm). Its description in RNAcentral is "long non-coding RNA (EGUI_LNC055407)". Lineage: Eukaryota; Viridiplantae; Streptophyta; Magnoliopsida; Arecales; Arecaceae. The record is from RNAcentral.